Eriocheir sinensis (Chinese mitten crab) is the source of this 3611-nucleotide long non-coding RNA. RefSeq lists it as uncharacterized. The transcript has 3 exons. NCBI's taxonomy places the organism in Eukaryota, Metazoa, Arthropoda, Malacostraca, Decapoda, Varunidae. The record is from RefSeq and is a predicted model, not a curated record.
CCUGUGGUGCCCCGAGGGCUGCGACACCACUCGUGUCAUCAUCAUCUUCACCGGCAAUAUUUUCCGAUGACAACAGCGGUAUCGACCGCUAAAACACAACACGGACUCCAAGACAUGAUUGUCCCCACACGCACUGUUCAUUUACCAACCUAUACACAAUUGUAAUUGCCCAUUAACGCACCCGCUUAUCUCUCUAAGCCAAAAACACAAUCAACUGCGGCCAAAACACGAUCAACCGCGGAACAAAAUGUUAUGAAAACAAAGCUGCGUCACCGCGUGACAGCUACACUAGGAUUAAAAUCGACCUUAUUACACAUGUCGGUUAGGUAGAUUAUUGUAUGAGCUCGGUGUGAGUUUGAUGUAUGACUCACACGCCUGACGUAUUACCCUCGUGAUGUCUGUAUGUAUGUCAUGCCUAUAUAAAAAGCAUUCAUGCAGCCAAGAGAUCAGAUCAACCAGCACUCUGUUCGUUGCUGGACACUCAGUUGUCCUUCCCUAGACAACAUGGGUAGAACAUUCAUCGUUGCUACUGUGAGUAUGGAGUGAUGUGGUACCAUAGAGGAAAAGCGUAUCUAACAUAUCUAUUGUGUUCUAUUAUCUUAGUUUUACUUAGGAUUAUAUUUCUAUGAUACUUUAUUGUGUGAGUUUUUACUCAAUAUUAUACCAGUGUUAACGUCAGUAACCAAUAGUGAAAGAAAACCUGAAGACUCAUUGAGUCUAGUAAGCCAGUCGCUGGUUUAAACAAUAUUUUUACCCUCUGUAAUAUUAAGUAGUAUUAAGGUAGAAUAAAAUACAUAUAAGAAAGGCGACACCGUUUCAUCACCCCAUUUACGAACUCCUUUAAAUACUCCUAAAGUACCAGUAUUUUAAGUCAAGUGUUACAAGUGCAAACAGUGUGUCGUCGCCCCUGUGUGACCCGGGAUUGCGGGUUACAACAAUCCCUUACACUGAUAAACUCUGGAACAGCCUUCCUUCGUCUGCAUUUCCUCCUGCCUAUUAUUUGACCUUCAAGAAGAGUGUAUCAAGACUCUACUGUUGUCUGUUUGGGAGCGGUGAGUAGCGGGGCUUUUUUUUCUCGUACGCUUUGUUGCCCUUUGUUUAAAGAAAAUAAUAAUUAAAUACAUAGAAGUUGGCCGCCAAUGCUUCCAACACAUUUUGGUGCCAUGUCUUCAAGUGGCUGGUGACUGUAAGUAUCUCAGCAACCUGCAUGCAUCUAUGCCAUUCCUAUCACGGUGCAUGGAGCAAGCUUCACAUAACACUCAGACAGAGACGGUUCACUUAUGGUUAUACUUCAGACUCAGUUUAUUUCUUUGUCUAUUAGGUGCAGUGCUGUUAAUAUUGUUAGUGGUAGUAUUAGUACAGUUAAUGUAUUUAUUUUCAUUAAUUUAUCAGUAUUUAUUUAUUAUAUUAAUAGUGUUUGAAAAUUCUAAUACUAGUAUUAAGAUAAACAAAAAUAUCAGAAAUAUUUAUACUCGUUAAUUAUUAUUGCUUUUCUUAUUAUUAAUUCCUUCAAUGUCCUGGGACUUUGACAUCUAGUGUUUUUCCGUCUAGCAGCCAAAAUUGUGGUCUUUCUGAAUGUGUAUGUCCUAAGUCUUCAUUGGUGUAACUAGUUAUAUACCAUCAAAAUUUGCAUCUCUCUCCCUUCUCACCCUGUUGUCCCUGUAUAUCCUUUCAGUAUCCAAAGAAUUUCAAUUUACCUCUUGUAAUCACUUAACUAAUGCAGUCAGCGAGUAUACAACUUCACAUCAUACCUCGUAACUCUUCCUUCAAGAUCAUAACAUCACCUGGCCUCUUAAUUUCCUGGUGCACCAACAAACCCACUUGGCAAUCCUCAUCUCUAUAUUUUACCGUGUGGACAUACUCUUUCCUUCCAUGUUCCACUGUCGUAUGUUAUUCCACAUCUAACACAACUACAUCCCAACAGAUCCGAACACGUUCGGUAUCAUCCAAGAGAAUGUGGCAGCUGAAGAGGAGAGCCCAAGAAAGAGACCAAGGGUGAAGCUGAAUGAAGACAUUUAGCCACCCCCUGAGGGUGUGAACUUGAUGGGAUUGGAGAAAACUCGACUCGGCCAUCAAGCUCACCACAAUAUAACAUGAAAAGUGAAAAUUGCUGCACAAAACAGUCUGUCGUCUGCGCCGGGAGGCAAGGCAUCUCAAAGCCCAGGCUGUUACAACUCCUGGGCAGUUUUUGCCCAGAGUCAGCAUUUUUUUUGAUUCAAUAGGAUGGAUUUUUUCUAAGGUCAGGUUCAACAUGCUGCAAGAUGCCAAGAUCUAAGCCUAGUAGGAGAUAUGGGUUACAAGAGAGGAGGUUUGCUCUGGCCUUAUACUAUCAAAGUCCAAAUGCUAAUAGAUUUCUAAGCACAGUAUUUCACUUGCCUUCAGUUUCAACACUUCACUCAUGACUCAGGGGUAUUUCAGUAAACGUUGGCUGGAAAAAAACAGACUCUGACAGCCCUGCAACAAAGAGCACAGGCUUUGUCAAAAGAAGAGAUACUUCGUGAGAUUUGCCAUUAUUUAGUUUUACUCUUGUUACGACAAUAAUUUUUUCCAUAUACUUUGCCAAAUAUUGCAGGUAAUGCACCAUUGUUGGUCUUACCUGUUAUAAAUCAGAUAUUGUUCAAUUAACAAGCUUCGGGUGUCUGCCACUUUCCAGUUGUAAUGCAAGGAAUCAUUUAUCUCCCCUGCCAGAUAUCACAUGUAAUGCACCAUUGUUAGUUUUGCCUGUUAUAAAUCAGAUCUUGUUCGGUUAACAAGCUUUAGGUGUCUGCCACUUUCCAGUUGUAAUGCAAGGAAUCCCCUGCCAGAUAUCGCAUGUAAUGCACCAUUGUUGGAUUUGCCUGUUUUAAUCAGAUCUUGUUCAGAUCACAAGCUUUGAAUAUCUGCCAUUGUUUAUUUCAGUUGUAAUGCUUGGAAGCAUUUGUUCUCUGCCCUACCCAACAGUAUGGAAUGCCUUGUUAUGGAUUUUGCCUGUUAUAGUUAAUCUUGUUCAAGUAACAAGCUUUUGGUAUCUGCCUUACCUAAUAAUGUGCUGCAAUGACACUUGGCUUGGUUUCAUAAUGUGAAAUACAGCAUGUAAUUUCAUCACACUAAGUGUCUAUCAUCACGUGUCUGGCACUAUUAUCCAGGAGUAAUCUUGUUUGUAUUACAGCAUGCAAUGUUUUUUUUUCUGCUUUAUAUUAUAUACAUAAUCACAUAGGUAUGAUUUUUUUUUGACAAAAUGUAAUGGCAGUUGAUAUUCUUGACUAAUGCCUCAUAAACCUUGUGAAAAAUAAUGCCUUUUUUGAGGGAAGUCGGGGGUGGACAGAGAGUGGUUUGUUUGGUUGGCCAGUUCAAAUCAUUAAAAAAUAAACAUUGAAAAUCUUUGUAAACAUGAAAUAAUAGGAAUGUUUUACUAAAAUUAAUGCAUAUAUGUACUUUGUGGUGAAAUAAUAAUUUCCGUUCAAAAACAAACACUAGACACUCACUGUAAACAUUAAAUUAUAGUACAUUUUAAUAAAAAGCUAAUGCAUAUAAUUUGUGCUAAAAUAAUCUAUUUCUUUAAAAAAUAAAUACUAGCAACUUUGUAAACAUGAAAUAAUAGCGACAUUUUAAUACAGACCUGAGAUAAGUAA